RNAcentral lists this ribosomal RNA (465 nucleotides) under uncultured bacterium. Its description in RNAcentral is "partial 16S ribosomal RNA". It matches the Rfam family "Bacterial small subunit ribosomal RNA", at positions 28 to 507 of the family's 1533-position model. The record is from RNAcentral.
GACGAACGCUGGCGGCGUGCUUAACACAUGCAAGUCGAACGGUAAGGCUCAGCUUGCCGGGGUACACGAGUGGCGAACGGGUGAGUAACACGUGGGUGACCUGCCCUGCACUUCGGGAUAAGCCUGGGAAACUGGGUCUAAUACCGGAUAGGACCAUGGUGUGGAUACUGUGGUGGAAAGGUUUUUCGGUGUGGGAUGGGCCCGCGGCCUAUCAGCUUGUUGGUGGGGUAAUGGCCUACCAAGGCGGCGACGGGUAGCCGGCCUGAGAGGGUGGACGGCCACAUUGGGACUGAGACACGGCCCAGACUCCUACGGGAGGCAGCAGUGGGGAAUAUUGCACAAUGGGCGGAAGCCUGAUGCAGCGACGCCGCGUGGGGGAUGACGGCCUUCGGGUUGUAAACUCCUUUCACCAUCGACGAAGGGUUUCUGACGGUAGAUGGAGAAGAAGCACCGGCUAACUACGUG